UACGUAGGGUGCAAGCGUUGUCCGGAAUUACUGGGCGUAAAGCGUGCGCAGGCGGUUAUGUAAGACAGUUGUGAAAUCCCCGGGCUCAACCUGGGAAUUGCAUCUGUGACUGCAUAGCUAGAGUACGGUAGAGGGGGAUGGAAUUCCGCGUGUAGCAGUGAAAUGCGUAGAUAUGCGGAGGAACACCGAUGGCGAAGGCAAUCCCCUGGACCUGUACUGACGCUCAUGCACGAAAGCGUGGGGAGCAAACAGG
Molecule: ribosomal RNA, 253 nt
Filed under: uncultured bacterium
Lineage: Bacteria
Description: partial 16S ribosomal RNA
Rfam family: Bacterial small subunit ribosomal RNA
Source: RNAcentral